This 371-nucleotide ribosomal RNA is filed under the name uncultured organism. RNAcentral's name for it is "bacterial SSU rRNA". It matches the Rfam family "Bacterial small subunit ribosomal RNA", at positions 526 to 896 of the family's 1533-position model. The record is from RNAcentral.
CGUAGGGUGCGAGCGUUAAUCGGAAUUACUGGGCGUAAAGCGUGCGCAGGCGGUUUUGUAAGCCAGAUGUGAAAGCCCCGGGCUCAACCUGGGAAUGGCAUUUGGGACUGCAAGGCUUGAGUGCGGCAGAGGAGACUGGAAUUCCUGGUGUAGCAGUGAAAUGCGUAGAUAUCAGGAGGAAUACCGAUGGCGAAGGCAGGUCUCUGGGCUGACACUGACGCUCAUGCACGAAAGCGUGGGGAGCAAACAGGAUUAGAUACCCUGGUAGUCCACGCCCUAAACGAUGUCGACUGGUUGUUGGGGGUUUGACACUCUCAGUAACGAAGCUAACGCGUGAAGUCGACCGCCUGGGAAGUACGGCCGCAAGGUUA